This 500-nucleotide ribosomal RNA is filed under the name uncultured bacterium. RNAcentral describes it as "partial 16S ribosomal RNA". It matches the Rfam family "Bacterial small subunit ribosomal RNA", at positions 30 to 523 of the family's 1533-position model. The record is from RNAcentral.
AUUGAACGCUGGCGGAAUGCUUUACACAUGCAAGUCGAACGGCAGCACGGACUUCGGUCUGGUGGCGAGUGGCGAACGGGUGAGUAAUGUAUCGGAACGUGCCCAGUCGUGGGGGAUAACGUAGUGAAAAUUACGCUAAUACCGCAUACGAUCUAUGGAUGAAAGCGGGGGAUCGCAAGACCUCGCGCGAUUGGAGCGGCCGAUAUCAGAUUAGCUAGUUGGUGGGGUAAAGGCCCACCAAGGCGACGAUCUGUAGCUGGUCUGAGAGGACGACCAGCCACACUGGAACUGAGACACGGUCCAGACUCCUACGGGAGGCAGCAGUGGGGAAUUUUGGACAAUGGGCGCAAGCCUGAUCCAGCAAUGCCGCGUGCAGGAUGAAGGCCUUCGGGUUGUAAACUGCUUUUGUACGGAACGAAACGGCCCUUUCUAAUACAGGGGGCUAAUGACGGUACCGUAAGAAUAAGCACCGGCUAACUACGUGCCAGCAGCCGCCGUAA